CAAGUCGAGCGGUAGAGAGAAGCUUGCUUCUCUUGAGAGCGGCGGACGGGUGAGUAAUGCCUAGGAAUCUGCCUGGUAGUGGGGGAUAACGUUCGGAAACGAACGCUAAUACCGCAUACGUCCUACGGGAGAAAGCAGGGGACCUUCGGGCCUUGCGCUAUCAGAUGAGCCUAGGUCGGAUUAGCUAGUUGGUGAGGUAAUGGCUCACCAAGGCGACGAUCCGUAACUGGUCUGAGAGGAUGAUCAGUCACACUGGAACUGAGACACGGUCCAGACUCCUACGGGAGGCAGCAGUGGGGAAUAUUGGACAAUGGGCGAAAGCCUGAUCCAGCCAUGCCGCGUGUGUGAAGAAGGUCUUCGGAUUGUAAAGCACUUUAAGUUGGGAGGAAGGGCAUUAACCUAAUACGUUAGUGUUUUGACGUUACCGACAGAAUAAGCACCGGCUAACUCUGUGCCAGCAGCCGCGGUAAUACAGAGGGUGCAAGCGUUAAUCGGAAUUACUGGGCGUAAAGCGCGCGUAGGUGGUUUGUUAAGUUGGAUGUGAAAUCCCCGGGCUCAACCUGGGAACUGCAUUCAAAACUGACUGACUAGAGUAUGGUAGAGGGUGGUGGAAUUUCCUGUGUAGCGGUGAAAUGCGUAGAUAUAGGAAGGAACACCAGUGGCUAAGGCGACCACCUGGACUAAUACUGACACUGAGGUGCGAAAGCGUGGGGAGCAAACAGGAUUAGAUACCCUGGUAGUCCACGCCGUAAACGAUGUCAACUAGCCGUUGGAAGCCUUGAGCUUUUAGUGGCGCAGCUAACGCAUUAAGUUGACCGCCUGGGGAGUACGGCCGCAAGGUUAAAACUCAAAUGAAUUGA
This 860-nucleotide ribosomal RNA is filed under the name Pseudomonas fluorescens. RNAcentral describes it as "bacterial SSU rRNA". It matches the Rfam family "Bacterial small subunit ribosomal RNA", at positions 58 to 913 of the family's 1533-position model. The record is from RNAcentral. Lineage: Bacteria; Pseudomonadati; Pseudomonadota; Gammaproteobacteria; Pseudomonadales; Pseudomonadaceae.